This 207-nucleotide ribosomal RNA is filed under the name uncultured bacterium. Its description in RNAcentral is "partial 16S ribosomal RNA". It matches the Rfam family "Bacterial small subunit ribosomal RNA", at positions 568 to 774 of the family's 1533-position model. The record is from RNAcentral.
CGCGUAGGCGGCCGAGUCAGUCGGAUGUGAAAGCCCCGGGCUCAACCUGGGAACUGCAUUCGAUACUGCUUGGCUAGAGUUUGGUAGAGGGUGGCGGAAUUCCUGGUGUAGCGGUGAAAUGCGUAGAUAUCAGGAGGAACAUCAGUGGCGAAGGCGGCUGCCUGGACCAAAACUGACGCUGAGGUGCGAAAGCGUGGGGAGCAAACA